This 465-nucleotide ribosomal RNA is filed under the name uncultured bacterium. RNAcentral's name for it is "partial 16S ribosomal RNA". It matches the Rfam family "Bacterial small subunit ribosomal RNA", at positions 339 to 795 of the family's 1533-position model. The record is from RNAcentral.
CUACGGGUUGCUGCAGUGGGGAAUAUUGGACAAUGGGGGAAACCCUGAUCCAGCAAUGCCGCGUGUGUGAAGAAGGCCUGCGGAUUGUAAAGCACUUUCGGUUGGGAGGACUGCUUCUAGCACUAAUAUUGUUGGAAGUUGACGUUACCUUCAGAAGAAGCACCGGCUAACUCCGUGCCAGCAGCCGCGAUAAUACGGAGGGUGCAAGCGUUAAUCGGAAUUACUGGGCGUAAAGCGCGCGUAGGCGGCUAGAUCAGUCGGGUGUGAAAGCCCCGGGCUUAACCUGGGAACUGCAUCCGAUACUGUCUAGCUUGAGUACAGGAGAGGAGAGUGGAAUUCCACAUGUAGCGGUGAAAUGCGUAGAUAUGUGGAGGAACACCAAUGGCGAAGGCAGCUCUCUGGCCUGAUACUGACGCUGAGGUGCGAAAGCGUGGGGAGCAAACAGGAUUAGAUACCCGCGUAGUC